RNA transcript from Dioscorea cayenensis subsp. rotundata (Guinea yam), 2070 nucleotides. It is a transcript of the gene named casein kinase 1-like protein 3, with no coding region annotated. The record is from RefSeq and is a predicted model, not a curated record. The transcript has 17 exons. Lineage: Eukaryota; Viridiplantae; Streptophyta; Magnoliopsida; Dioscoreales; Dioscoreaceae.
CUUUCUUCGUCGUCUCUCUCUAUCCACACCAGAUAAACAAAGCUCUCUCCAUCUCAAUCCUCUCGAAUUCGCUUCUCUUCGAAACCCUAGUUCGUUGUAGCUCGUCUGAUUCGAUUCUGGGAGCCGAGCUAUGGAUCGGAUCGUAGGCGGGAAGUACAAGCUAGGGCGCAAGAUCGGGAGCGGGUCGUUUGGCGAGAUCUUUCUCGCUACGCAUGUGGAUACGUUCGAGAUCGUCGCUGUGAAGAUUGAAAACAGUAAGACGAAGCACCCUCAAUUGCUUUAUGAGGCCAAGCUUUAUAAUGUCCUCCAGGGCGGAAGUGGUAUUGCCAAUAUAAAAUGGUGUGGUGUUGAUGGAGAAGACAAUGUUCUUGUUCUUGACUUGCUUGGACCAAGCUUGGAGGAUCUGUUUGUCUACUGUGGAAGGAAAUUCUCACUGAAGACAGUCCUAAUGCUUGCUGAUCAGAUGAUUACGAGGAUAGAAUAUGUGCACUCAAAAGGUUACUUGCAUAGAGAUAUUAAGCCUGACAACUUUCUAAUGGGUCUUGGUCGAAAAGCAAAUCAGGUCUACAUAAUUGAUUUCGGCCUUGCAAAAAGAUACAGAGAUUCCACUACCAAUCGCCACAUUCCAUACAGAGAGAACAAAAAUUUGACGGGGACUGCUCGUUAUGCAAGUUGUAACACACACCUUGGUGUUGAGCAAAGCCGUCGUGAUGAUUUGGAAUCUCUUGGAUAUGUUCUUCUUUACUUCUUGAGAGGAAGUCUCCCAUGGCAGGGUCUGAAAGCUGCUACAAAGAAGCAAAAGUACGAUAAGAUAUGUGAGAAGAAGCUAUCAACUCCUAUUGAAGCUCUUUGCAAAUCCCAUCCUGUGGAAUUUGCAUCAUACUUCCAUUAUUGCCAUUCUUUAACAUUUGAUCAACGACCUGAUUAUGGUUUUCUGAAGCGACUGUUCCGCGACCUGUUUGCUCGUGAAGGAUAUGAUUUUGAUUAUAUUUUCGAUUGGACCAUUUUGAAAUAUCAACAAGCUCAAAAGACAAAACCUCAGCCUCAGUUACAACCACGAUUCUCGCCAGUUCCAGGAGGAAUGAAUAGCCGCGCGAUUCCAAUGGAUGUUGACAAGCAUCAAGGUACAAAUGAUGCAUCCUAUCCGGCGGAAGCUGGACCAAGUAAUGUGGGGCGCCCUGCUGUUCGCAUGCAGUUCAAAACCCCAUCUGACAGGAAUUUGAAUUCUGAUGGACGUGCUGACAAAAUUAUGGCUAGCACAAACAUUGACAAGAUGCCAUCAACAUCAUUUGCUCUUCCAAGUGCUCCAAAGAAAAAUAUUGGAAGCUCUAAACAGUUGCGACCACCUGAUUCGUCACACCACAGCAAUGGUCUAGGAAGUAACUAUGGUUCAUCCAGCAGUUGGAUUCCUACAUUACAACGCAAUGCUUCAGCCAAAUGACUGCUGCCUGCCUACCUACCUUUUGGUUCUUCAGAUAUGCAUAAUGGGGAGAUCCAAUGUGCAAGAUCCUUAUUGUUGCAAAGUUGAACAAAGUAAUCACUGCUGAUUCACUUUCUACAUAUCAGGAUGCCUACUGUAUUUUAUUAAGGGAUCUGGGCUCUUGUAUAUUUUUUGUUGCUGUAUCCUUUGGUUCAAAGCCAUGGAUGGUCAUCUGGAUCAGUUUUAAGCAUUAGAACCCAAGUCCUUCAGGAUCUGAAUAGAACUCAAUAAUCUAGUUUUCAGGUGCUUGUCAUCUGUGCUUCUGUUUAUGGGGCUUCUGGUUCUGGUGCAGCUUUACUAAUGUGAUGCUGUGAUGGAUGGAAAGUUAGAGGUAUGUACAUAGACCCAAUAUACAAGUCACAGACAUGAAUUUUGUAAAUAUAUUGUAGGAAGCAUCUCGGGUGUGCUUCAAGAUCAAUUGACUUACUGCCUGAUUCUUGUUCAUGUUUUUCAAGAUCAAUUGACUUGCUUCACCUUGUGGUAAUUUAGUGUUGCCUUUUGUUAAAAUCCUAGAAGUGACCAACAGAAGUCUGGAGAAUCAGAAACUAUAAUCAAAGUAUGGUUGUGUUAAUGAUAUGCCUUUGUCCUUG